UACGUAAGUGGCGAGCGUUGUGCGGAGUUACUGGGUGUAAAGGGCGUGUAGGCGGGUAUGGAAGUUGGAAGUGGAAUACCACGGCUCAACUGUGGCGCUGCAUUUAAAACUGCAUAUCGUGAGUGCUGGAGAGGAAAGCGGAAUUCCCAGUGUAGGGGUGAAAUGCGUAGAUAUUGGGAGGAACUCCAGGGGCGAAGGCGGCUUUCUGGACGGUAACUGACGCUGAGGCGCCAGAGCGUGGGGAUCAAACACG
Molecule: ribosomal RNA, 253 nt
Filed under: uncultured bacterium
Lineage: Bacteria
Description: partial 16S ribosomal RNA
Rfam family: Bacterial small subunit ribosomal RNA
Source: RNAcentral